RNAcentral lists this non-coding RNA (30 nucleotides) under Mus musculus (house mouse). The record is from RNAcentral. Lineage: Eukaryota; Metazoa; Chordata; Mammalia; Rodentia; Muridae.
UAGCUCAAAUAGUUUGCUAGAGAUCAGCUU